This 253-nucleotide ribosomal RNA is filed under the name uncultured bacterium. RNAcentral describes it as "partial 16S ribosomal RNA". It matches the Rfam family "Bacterial small subunit ribosomal RNA", at positions 524 to 776 of the family's 1533-position model. The record is from RNAcentral.
UACAGAGGAUGCAAGCGUUAUCCGGAAUGAUUGGGCGUAAAGCGUCUGUAGGUGGCUUGCUAAGUCAGACGUGAAAUCCCUCAGCUUAACUGGGGAACUGCGUCUGAGACUGGCGAGCUUGAGUGCAGGAGAGGAACGCGGAAUUCCAGGUGUAGCGGUGAAAUGCGUAGAUAUCUGGAGGAACACCGGUGGCGAAGGCGGCGUUCUGGACUGCAACUGACACUGAGAGACGAAAGCCAGGGGAGCAAACGGG